AGAAACGUACCGGAUAUUUAUCAUGGACUAAAAGAAACAGGAAACUCUGGCCCUCUGGCGAAGAUGAUAUCUUUAACAAACAUUUGAUUUUACCGACCGAACGAAUAUGUUUAAACUAUAGAUGUCGCUAAAUGUUUAUUUCUCGUAACAGUCCUAAGGAACUAUUUUGCGCAAUUGGCGGAUUAAGUGUUAUCUCUUUCUUCAAGUAUUACAAGAUUUUCAGAUUAGUUUCUUUUUAAUAUUAUACAUUUCGAUGUUAUUGAAAAUUAUCUACAAUGCAUAUAACAAUCUACCUACAUAGAAAGAUUGUGUCAGGAGAUGAACCAGAGCGAUGGAUUAUUUAUCGGGACAUCUCUCGUUCCGUUCUUCUCAUUCCAUUCUUCUUCUCCUCAUCCCUUAUUUCUCAAAGCUCCGUGCGUCAUCCGGCGUCUCCCCGGGGAUGCAGGAAACAAUGUCAUCUAUCUUCCAGCGUGAUCCACGUCCGGUGCAUCAUGCUGGAAUUACCGGUACUAAUACACACUAUGCUAUCGUAUAGCCAAGACCAUACAAGGAUCUAAGUUUAACAUUUACAUCCCCGAUAGGAGAUCCUUACCUAACUAAAAUUAUAACAGGAAAUCGAUCACUUUUCGUUUUCUUUCAUCUUCUAUAACUUUUUAUU
Molecule: long non-coding RNA, 658 nt
Organism: Vespa mandarinia (Asian giant hornet)
Lineage: Eukaryota; Metazoa; Arthropoda; Insecta; Hymenoptera; Vespidae
Source: RefSeq, a predicted model, not a curated record